GGGGGCGCGGGGGCGGCUGUAAUGGCGGCGCCGCCCCUUGGGUGGUCUGAGGGGGUUUGCCUCGAGGCUGCAGCGGCAUACGAUGGCAGGAAGCCUUUUUAGUCACGGCACAGCCACCAGUGUGGUUUGGGCCGGUGUGACGUCCCACCCUUAAGGGAAGGGGAACACUCGAGAUUCGUAAAUGCUCAUGGUCGAAAGGAACAACAAAAGUCAAGAGGGUCCGCAAGCAAUCGAAGUUUUAUUAGUAAAUUGCACACUUGGCAUGGAAAUCGGGCCAGCAUCCUUGGAUGUGUUCUGAAAUGUCUCCUAGUCUGUGUGAGUCAUGAUAUAAGGCUUUGUGGUAUGGAACAGUUAUCACCUUGGCAGAGAGAUCCAGGGACAGCCCCUUAGUUACCAAGUGCCUUGGGACUACUACUUCACAUAAAACAUUUUUCUCAAACUUUGAGUUUCUUCGUCCUGUCACACAACCUUACCUUAAGCAUUCAUAUUGAUCUGCAGUCAUUUUACCCUUCUGGCACUGCGGCUUCAUACACCUGGUGCAAGUAUUUCUGGAGGCGUGUCACAGGCUUUGUUGUAUUUCAGCAUUAAAGAAGAUUAUGUUCCUUUGUACAUUGGAGACGGUCAGCUUCAGAUACAGCGUUUUUCCAAGAAGAGACAGAUAGUCAUGAAGCUUUGUGGAGGAGUUAUUGUGUUAUAGCACUUAGAGGAGACCACCUCCUUAAAGAAGCAGGGCAUAUUUUCCUGUUUGAACUGUUCCACCUCAAUUGCUGCAUAUUUUCGGUAACUCUGUUCAGCACAGAAAAAUCAAGCUGUUUGGACUGCAGUGGUGGGGUUUUUUGUAUAAUGGUUUUCUCUUGAGUUGACGAUACGUAAUAAACUUUGUAAAUGGUACAGAGUAAAUGACUUGCAAAAAAGUAGGAUUCCUCACUUCCCAAGGGCCACAGGUACUAUCCUAGAGGAGAAAAUGAGUUGUUGAGUCUGCAAGUCUACUUUAAAAGGUAGAAAGAUUCAUGGAUAAUUGUGUGGGAAACAUGGAAAAAGUGCUGAGUGGUCUUGGCAUAUUAAAUGUUGAGAGAAGUAAGGACAAGUGCUCCCUAAAGACUUUGUAUGGGUAACUGUGAAGUUAAUUUCAUGUCCUAAAUAGAUGUCAACUUUUAGGCUUAAUGAAUUGUUAGCAUUGAAGAUCCUUUUGCGUGUUUUGUGAGCAGUCUUACAGCAGUCUGUGCCACACAAUUUAUUGAACUGUGUUUGGAAGUGAAAAAUGUGCAGCCUAGAUGAUUCUGCCCUCCAUCUUGGUUUUCUAGACUACUUUGUGCAUCCUGUAUAGAGUUUGGCAUUUAAAUUAUUAAAAGAAGGGUAGGAAGCUUAAAUGCAAUUUGAAUAUCCUCAGACCAUUGAGGAAUUCUGUUUAGCUUCCCCUAUAUUAACAUACUGAUAAUUAUGACUUAUCCUCUUUUCAACAGAAUAUUUAGUAUAGAAAAAUCUGACUACUUCUAAAUGUUCCUCUUUAUAUUGCAACCGUUGUACAAUGUUAUGGAAAGUGGUUCCCGUGGUAUUAUUUUCUUAUUAUAAAUUAUUCUUCACAAAAGAGUUUUAGUGAAGACAAUCUUAUUCCAAGUAAUGUGUAAAAGUUGACUAAGGACCAGGUAAUUCUUACUCAGCUGCUUUUUCUCAAUAAAUAAUUAUAAGUCAUGUUUAGAAACAUGCAAAAGUCUGGAAUCUGUAAAUCUGUUCCUCUUUGCUUCUCUCUGGCACUUCGCUCCACCAAGAGUUUCCUUCAUUCUUCUUUAUACUGAAAUUAGGACGACCAGUAGCUUUAGACCAAUGCUUUGAGAAUAAAGUGUGAGGAGUACACAGAUGCAGAUUUUGGACUUGAUUAGCG
Long non-coding RNA from Lepidothrix coronata (blue-crowned manakin), 1882 nucleotides. RefSeq lists it as uncharacterized. The record is from RefSeq and is a predicted model, not a curated record. Lineage: Eukaryota; Metazoa; Chordata; Aves; Passeriformes; Pipridae. The transcript is spliced from 3 exons.